GCCAGACUCCUACGGGAGGCAGCAGUGAGGAAUAUUGGUCAAUGGUCGGGAGACUGAACCAGCCAAGCCGCGUGAGGGAUGAAGGUACAGAGUAUCGUAAACCUCUUUUGUCAGGGAACAAAGGCGGGGACGUGUCCCGGCCCGGAGAGUACCCGGAGAAAAAGCAUCGGCUAACUCCGUGCCAGCAGCCGCGGUAAUACGGAGGAUGCGAGCGUUAUCCGGAUUUAUUGGGUUUAAAGGGUGCGUAGGCGGGCUUUUAAGUCAGCGGUAAAAAUUCGGGGCUCAACCCCGUCCGGCCGUUGAAACUGGCGUUCUUGAGUGGGCGAGAAGUAUGCGGAAUGCGUGGUGUAGCGGUGAAAUGCAUAGAUAUCACGCAGAACUCCGAUUGCGAAGGCAGCAUACCGGCGCCCAACUGACGCUGAAGCACGAAAGCGUGGGUAUCGAACAGGAUUAGAUACCCUCGUAA
Molecule: ribosomal RNA, 466 nt
Filed under: uncultured bacterium
Lineage: Bacteria
Description: bacterial SSU rRNA
Rfam family: Bacterial small subunit ribosomal RNA
Source: RNAcentral